RNAcentral lists this ribosomal RNA (494 nucleotides) under uncultured bacterium. RNAcentral's name for it is "partial 16S ribosomal RNA". It matches the Rfam family "Bacterial small subunit ribosomal RNA", at positions 28 to 507 of the family's 1533-position model. The record is from RNAcentral.
GACGAACGCUGGCGGCGUGCUUAACACAUGCAAGUCGAACGGAAAGGCCUGUCCUUCCUUGUGUUGGACGGGUACUCGAGUGGCGAACGGGUGAGUAACACGUGAGUGAUCUGCCCCCAACUUGGGUAUAAGCCUGGGAAACUGGGUCUAAUUCCCGAUAGGACUGCAGGGUGGUGCCUGUGGUGGAACACGAUUUUCUAGUGGAUGGGGAUGAGCUCGCGGCCUAUCAGCUGGUUGGUGGGGUAAUGGCCUACCAAGGCGGCGACGGGUAGCCGGCCUGAGAGGGUGGAGGGGGACAGUGGGACUGAGAGGCGGCACAGAGUCCGAGGGGAGGCAGCAGUGGGGACGAGAGGAAGAUGGGCGGAAGACUGAUGAAGCGACGCCGCGUGGAGGAUGACGGCCUGCGGGUUGGAAGCACCUUUCGGGCGUGAAGAAGCCGUUUGGUUGGAAGGGUGGUGACGGUAGCGGUAGAAGAAGCACCGGCUAACUACGUG